CGGCGGACGGGUGGGUAACGCGUGGGUAACCUGCCUCAUACAGGGGGAUAACAGUUAGAAAUGACUGCUAAUACCGCAUAAGACCACAGCACCGCAUGGUGCGGGGGUAAAAACUCCGGUGGUAUGAGAUGGACCCGCGUCUGAUUAGCUAGUUGGUAAGGUAACGGCUUACCAAGGCGACGAUCAGUAGCCGACCUGAGAGGGUGACCGGCCACAUUGGGACUGAGACACGGCCCAA
This 238-nucleotide ribosomal RNA is filed under the name uncultured bacterium. RNAcentral describes it as "partial 16S ribosomal RNA". It matches the Rfam family "Bacterial small subunit ribosomal RNA", at positions 96 to 334 of the family's 1533-position model. The record is from RNAcentral.